RNAcentral lists this ribosomal RNA (496 nucleotides) under uncultured bacterium. Its description in RNAcentral is "partial 16S ribosomal RNA". It matches the Rfam family "Bacterial small subunit ribosomal RNA", at positions 28 to 506 of the family's 1533-position model. The record is from RNAcentral.
GAUGAACGCUGGCGGCGUGCCUAAUACAUGCAAGUCGAGCGAACAGACGAGGAGCUUGCUCCUCUGACGUUAGCGGCGGACGGGUGAGUAACACGUGGAUAACCUACCUAUAAGACUGGGAUAACUUCGGGAAACCGGAGCUAAUACCGGAUAAUAUAUUGAACCGCAUGGUUCAAUAGUGAAAGACGGUUUUGCUGUCACUUAUAGAUGGAUCCGCGCCGCAUUAGCUAGUUGGUAAGGUAACGGCUUACCAAGGCAACGAUGCGUAGCCGACCUGAGAGGGUGAUCGGCCACACUGGAACUGAGACACGGUCCAGACUCCGACGGGAGGCAGCAGUAGGGAAUCUUCCGCAAUGGGCGAAAGCCUGACGGAGCAACGCCGCGUGAGUGAUGAAGGUCUUCGGAUCGUAAAACUCUGUUAUUAGGGAAGAACAAAUGUGUAAGUAACUAUGCACGUCUUGACGGUACCUAAGCAGAAAGCCACGGCUAACUACGU